UGUGAUGCUGCAAAGAAGGAAAAAAUGUUCUAGGAGGCAUCAGCAGAUGUUUGGUUUAUACGUUUUAUGCAUCUUAAAGAGCUGGAAAGGCCACAACUGAAAUAUGGUAUUCUGUGUUAGACUCUUAUCCAGACCAUUUAAGAGAGUCUGGAAUAUAAACAACAACAACAAAGAAGUAUGGAUAACUUGCUUUGCAGGGUGAAAAUAUUUAGUUUAAAAGGUGGAGGCUGAUAGGGAAGCAUGAGAUUAAUCUUCAACUAUGUUUAUAUCUAAUGCAUGGAAGAAAUGAUUGAUAUGUUCCAUCUCUUCAUGACAGGUAUGAGCAAGACAUAAUGGAUUUCAUUUUCAGUAUGGAUCCACAAAGUCAAAACAUUAGAAUGCCUAUGCAUAGAGGAAGAGUCUCAUUCACUCAAGACUCAGUGAUUUAAAGAGGAGCCAAAAGGCUCGUGAAGAUUAGUUCCCUCUAGCCAUGUUUGCUGUGGUGGGACUUCAGCUCAUGGAAGGUUUUAUUGCCUGGCUGCUCCUGGAGGUCCACGGAAAAAGGACAAGGCCACCAUUUCCCAGGAGCUUGGAUGAGGCUGCCACCACACUCAGACUAAACCAUGGGGUCACAGGAGUGGGAUGCCAAGAGACAUUUUAUAAUGACAGGAGAUGCCAUCAUGUGUGGAACUUUGGUGAAUUCCUUGCACAUAAGAAAACAAAAUGGGAAUAGCCCAGGGAUGAAGCAUUUUACCUAGCAAACUGGAAAAGGAGUUAAUCACUUUGGAACCCCCUCAGGUGGAUGAUAGUGUAUUGAACUUAUCACAAAAUGAAAUCUUUCAUCAGUGCUAUUUAAAUUGUUGUCUUCUUCUCUGACAAGCUGUCUUAUUUAAGACAGGAUAAAGUUACCGUUUUAACAAUCAUUUCAAUAAUAUUAUUCAGAAUGAGCUUUUGGAGAAUUGAAAUACAGCAGAUGAAUUUAAAAUAAAAUAAAAUAAAAUAAAAUAAAAUAAAAUAAA
This 998-nucleotide long non-coding RNA is filed under the name Coturnix japonica (Japanese quail). RNAcentral's name for it is "lncRNA (ENSCJPG00005004511.1)". The record is from RNAcentral. Lineage: Eukaryota; Metazoa; Chordata; Aves; Galliformes; Phasianidae.